Molecule: ribosomal RNA, 460 nt
Filed under: uncultured bacterium
Lineage: Bacteria
Description: partial 16S ribosomal RNA
Rfam family: Bacterial small subunit ribosomal RNA
Source: RNAcentral
CCUACGGGAGGCAGCAGUGAGGAAUAUUGGUCAAUGGACGAGAGUCUGAACCAGCCAAGUAGCGUGAAGGAUGACUGCCCUAUGGGUUGUAAACUUCUUUUAUAUGGGAAUAAAAUGUUCCACGUGUGCGUUUUUGUAUGUACCAUAUGAAUAAGGAUCGGCUAACUCCGUGCCAGCAGCCGCGGUAAUACGGAGGAUCCGAGCGUUAUCUGGAUUUAUUGGGUUUAAAGGGAGCGUAGGUGGAUUGUUAAGUCAGUUGUGAAAGUUUGCGGCUCAACCGUAAAAUUGCAAUUGAUACUGGCAGUCUUGAGUACAGUAGAGGUAGGCGGAAUUCGUGGUGUAGCGGUGAAAUGCUUAGAUAUCACGAAGAACUCCGAUUGCGAAGGCAGCUCACUGGACUGUAACUGACACUGAGGUUCGAAAGUGUGGGUAUCAAACAGGAUUAGAUACCCCUGUAGUC